UGGGGAAUUUUCCGCAAUGGGGGCAACCCUGACGGAGCAACGCCGCGUGGGGGAGGAAUGUCUGUGGAUUGUAAACCCCUUUUCUCAGGGAAGAAGUUCUGACGGUACCUGAGGAAUCAGCAUCGGCUAACUCCGUGCCAGCAGCCGCGGUAAUACGGAGGAUGCAAGCGUUAUCCGGAAUUAUUGGGCGUAAAGCGUCCGUAGGCGGUUAGUUAAGUCAGUUGUUAAAGACUACAGCUCAACUGUGGGAGAGCAACUGAAACUGAUUAACUAGAGUGCGAUAGGGGUAGAGGGAAUUCCCAGUGUAGCGGUGAAAUGCGUAGAUAUUGGGAAGAACACCAGUGGCGAAGGCGCUCUACUGGGUCGCAACUGACGCUGAGGGACGAAAGCUAGGGGAGCGAAAGGGAUUAGAUACCCCCGUAGUCC
Molecule: ribosomal RNA, 426 nt
Filed under: uncultured prokaryote
Description: bacterial SSU rRNA
Rfam family: Bacterial small subunit ribosomal RNA
Source: RNAcentral